CAAUAGCGUAUAUUAAAGCUGUUGCGGUUAAAAAGCUCGUAGUUGGAUUUCUGUCAAGGACAACUGGUCCGCCCUUCGGGUGAGCACAUAGUUUGGUCUUGGCGUCUUGCUGGAAACUGUUGCUGCACUUGGUUGUGUGGCGCAGCGUCCAGCACUUUCACUUUGAGGAAAUUGGAGUGUUUCAAGCAGGCACAUGCCUUUGGACACAGUAGCAUGGAAUAAUUAGAUUGGGCUUUUGCUCCAACUUGUCGGUUUCUGGAGCUGAGGUGAGAAUUAAUGGGGAUUGUUGGGGGCAUCCGAAUUUAGCCGUCAGAGGUGAAAUUCUUGGAUCUGCUAAAGACGGACAACUGCGAAAGCGUUUGCCCAGGAUGUUUUCAUUGA
Molecule: ribosomal RNA, 381 nt
Filed under: uncultured eukaryote
Lineage: Eukaryota
Description: partial 18S ribosomal RNA
Rfam family: Eukaryotic small subunit ribosomal RNA
Source: RNAcentral